CACACUGCUCCGGGGAGCAAGCACCUUUCGAGGUCGACUGCUGAGAUGGUUGAAAAACCGAACCCGUGAACUUGAUCCGGUUAGUACCGGCGAAAGAAGAGCGCAUGCCUUAAAG
This 115-nucleotide non-coding RNA is filed under the name Comamonadaceae bacterium. RNAcentral describes it as "TPP sequence". It matches the Rfam family "TPP riboswitch aptamer (THI element)". From Rfam's summary of the family: Vitamin B(1) in its active form thiamin pyrophosphate (TPP) is an essential coenzyme that is synthesised by coupling of pyrimidine and thiazole moieties in bacteria. The record is from RNAcentral. Lineage: Bacteria; Pseudomonadati; Pseudomonadota; Betaproteobacteria; Burkholderiales; Comamonadaceae.